UAAGAUUUUAAGUGCUCGUCGAUACAUAUCAUAUCCAUCGUAUCGUGCUAAUAAUACAAAUUCCGUGCCGAUAGCACAGCUAAAAACUCUCUAUUUUUUAAAUUAAUAAAUAAUUUCAUCAAUAAAAUUUAAAAAAUGUGAUAAAAAGGCAUAAUAAAUAGUUAGAAUAUUUUAUUGCUAAAAAAAAUAAAUAUUUUAUAUUAUUAUGUGUCGACACAUAAUAAUUUUUUUGACCGGCACGUAUCGGCAUGGUUCGGCACACACCG
RNAcentral lists this long non-coding RNA (266 nucleotides) under Ananas comosus (pineapple). RNAcentral describes it as "long non-coding RNA (ACOM_LNC014526)". Lineage: Eukaryota; Viridiplantae; Streptophyta; Magnoliopsida; Poales; Bromeliaceae. The record is from RNAcentral.